Molecule: ribosomal RNA, 497 nt
Filed under: uncultured bacterium
Lineage: Bacteria
Description: partial 16S ribosomal RNA
Rfam family: Bacterial small subunit ribosomal RNA
Source: RNAcentral
GAUGAACGCUGGCGGCGUGCCUAAUACAUGCAAGUCGAGCGAACAGAUGAGGACUUUGCUCCCCUGACGUUAGCGGCGGACGGGUGAGUAAACCGUGGAUACCCUACCUUUAAGACUGGGAUAACUUCGGGAAACCGGAGCUAAUACCGGUUAAUUAUUUGAACCGCAUGGUUCAUUAGUGAAAGACGGUUUUGCUGUCCUUUAUAGUUGGUUCCCCCCCGCAUUAGCUAGUUGGUAAGGUAACGGCUUACCAAGGCGACGAUGCGUAGCCGACCUGAGAGGGUGAUCGGCCACACUGGAACUGAGACACGGUCCAGACUCCUACGGGAGGCAGCAGUAGGGAAUCUUCCGCAAUGGGCGAAAGCCUGACGGAGCAACGCCGCGUGAGUGAUGAAGGUCUUCGGAUCGUAAAACUCUGUUAUUAGGGAAGAACAAAUGUGUAAGUAACUAUGCACGUCUUGACGGUACCUAAUCAGAAAGCCACGGCUAACUACGUG